UGGCGAACGGGUGAGUAACGCGUGAGGAACCUGCCUCAAAGAGGGGGACGAACAGUUGGAAACGACUGCUAAUACCGCAUAAGCCCACGGGUCGGCAUCGACCAGAGGGAAAAGGAGCAAUCCGCUUUAAGAUGGCCUCGCGUCCGAUUAGCUAGUUGGUGAGGUAAUGGCCCACCAAGGCGACGAUCGGUAGCCGGACUGAGAGGUUGAACGGCCACAUUGGGACUGAGACACGGCCCAGACUCCUACGGGAGGCAGCAUG
This 262-nucleotide ribosomal RNA is filed under the name uncultured bacterium. Its description in RNAcentral is "partial 16S ribosomal RNA". It matches the Rfam family "Bacterial small subunit ribosomal RNA", at positions 96 to 353 of the family's 1533-position model. The record is from RNAcentral.